Triticum aestivum (bread wheat) is the source of this 595-nucleotide long non-coding RNA. RefSeq lists it as uncharacterized. The transcript has 3 exons. The record is from RefSeq and is a predicted model, not a curated record. NCBI's taxonomy places the organism in Eukaryota, Viridiplantae, Streptophyta, Magnoliopsida, Poales, Poaceae.
GUUUCCGAAAAAGAAAGAAACAAAGAGUUAUUAUUAUAAGAGGAAAAGUGCCUACCCAUUGUUGUCGGCGGAGGUGGAACGAGGGCCUGUGAAAGGCCCAGAUCGAUCCGCAAGGCAGUCGACGAUGGCGUUGGUUCGGUGCGCCGCGAGGAGGCUGGGUGGCUCCGUGCUCCAGCGAACGCAGGCGGCGGCCGCGGAGGAGGGACGCCGGCUCGUGCCAAGCAGGUUCAUGCGCAACCGCCAGCUCUCCGGCGAUGUCGCGAUCAGCAUGCUGGCAAGUUCCCUGCCUUGGAUUCUGAGCUGGAAAAGAACAGGAAGGAGCUGGAAGCCAUGAUAGCUAAGUUGAAGAACACUCCAAGACCACAUGCCUCUACGUUGUGCGUACAAUAUCAGACGAUCAAAGAAGAUGCAUCCAACUUGAUCAAUUACUUCCUUAAUUUCCCGUUUAUUUGUUUGUUUGACAGGAGUUGAUACAUAUAAUCUCAUUUGACCUACCACUCAAUACUUGCAGGCGCUUGAUGUCCUACGGGCGUACAGUUCAGGGUGUACACGGUCUCGGUUUAAUGAGUGGUAGGUCAAAUGAUGUCAAAUGUGU